GUUCUCUGGGCCUUUCCUGACGCUGAGGAGCGAAAGCGUGGGGAGCGAACAGGCUUAGAUACCCUGGUAGUCCACGCUGUAAACGGUGGGUACUAGGUGUGGGGUCCAUUCCACGGGUUCCGUGCCGUAGCUAACGCUUUAAGUACCCCGCCUGGGGAGUACGGCCGCAAGGCUAAAACUCAAAUGAAUUGACGGAAUCACUAGGAAGUCGCAGCUGGGGACUGAGAUACGGCCCAGACUCCUACGGGAGGCAGCAGUGGGGAAUAUUGCACAAUGGGCGGAAGCCUGAUGCAGCAACGCCGCGUGCGGGAUGACGGCCUUCGGGUUGUAAACCGCUUUCGCCUGUGACGAAGCGUGAGUGACGGUAAUGGGUAAAGAAGCACCGGCUAACUACGUGCCAGCAGCCGCGGUGAUACGUAGGGUGCGAGCGUUGUCCGGAUUUAUUGGGCGUAAAGGGCUCGUAGGUGGUCGAUCGCGUCGGAAGUGUAAUCUUGGGGCUUAACCCUGAGCGUGCUUUCGAUACGGGUU
Molecule: ribosomal RNA, 528 nt
Filed under: uncultured Propionibacterium sp.
Lineage: Bacteria; Bacillati; Actinomycetota; Actinomycetes; Propionibacteriales; Propionibacteriaceae
Description: bacterial SSU rRNA
Rfam family: Bacterial small subunit ribosomal RNA
Source: RNAcentral